RNAcentral lists this unclassified non-coding RNA (666 nucleotides) under Hevea brasiliensis (rubber tree). The record is from RNAcentral. Lineage: Eukaryota; Viridiplantae; Streptophyta; Magnoliopsida; Malpighiales; Euphorbiaceae.
CAAUUCCCCAAACAGAGUUCUAAUACUCAUCAUAUGUUCAUCUUGGACAUGUGAAAAACGAGUAGUUGCCCUUUCCAGUUGUCAUACUUGUAUAAAGAUUAUAGUUACAUGAUUCUCUAAUGAUAAGUUUACACAAGGCAAAAGUCAUGUCCUUCAAUGAUCAGCAUAAGAGUUACUUUGACAUGAUGUAGCAUAGGACUUCUAUAAGCAACAAAAAACCACUUUCUGAUGCAACGUUUGACUUCAUAUAUGCAUGCACCAUUCAUAUUAAUUAGCCUAUCAGAUCAGAAUCUUUCAACAGCAACUCUCUGAAAUCAUGAUAUAUCAGUAUUGACAAACAGCUGAUUACAUUUGGAUCAAGUCUCAUAUUAUUCAUAUUGCUUGUCUUUCAGUGAUCAGGAUCGUCUAGAAUCUCCACCACUGGAGCAAACUCAUCGUCUUCUUUAAGAUGCAUGCCAUCAACAGAACUAUCCAGCUUGAAGUCCCAUCCAAGAGUCUGCUCAAGCAGUUCUCUCAGUUUUCUAGUCCAAGUCAGGAGGUCUCCAUCAACCAUGGGGGCAUCAAGCACCAAUGAGAAGAAAUCCUUACAAAGGUGGCGCAGGAAGUUAUCAGCAGAGAAAGGUGCAACGGCCUCGUUGGACGAAUCUUUGUUGUCUGCUGAUAACU